GAGGCAAUUUAGCUGUGAUCAAUUUGGGAUAAACAAAGCAGGAAACUGCCUCCUUAUAUUCCUAGUAAUUCUUUCUGCUUUUCCAAACAUUGUUAGGUUCUAUGCAUCUUGUGCUAUUUAAGUAAAGAUGAUGUUAGUAAUCAAAUUUCAGAAUCUAAUCAAGUGACUAUUUUUGCUUUAUUACAAAAUUUAUGUAUUCUAUUGGGUGGUUGAACCACUUAGUUGCUUGAAUGCUGAAUUUUUCUUUUUUUAGAUAGAGUGAUAUUUAAUGAAGUGCUUAUAAAGAUAAAUAUCAUGUUUAUCAAAGAUCACAUAGUCAUAGUAACGAAGUAGCAUUUGUGCCUGUGUGGUAUAGACUGUGUGCUUUGUAAAUUAUGCUGCUUUUAAAAUCAUGACCUAGAAAUUUAUAAUGGGGACAUGUGAGAAGAGAAACUCAAGUCCUCAAUUUACACAGCCAAGAACACACACUCAGGUUAGAGAAAUUGCUCUCAGAAGCAUUCUUACCAUUUACUUAUCCUUGCAAUAUUUCUACUGGCUGUUUUUUUUUUUUUUUUUAACUAGAAAGUUAUAGAAUUAGGAGUGACUUCUGUAAUUCACUGGACUUUUCUCUGCUGAAACAUGUUAAUGUUGUAUUCAUAUAGCCACCUUAUGAUCAAAAAGUUUGGUCAGAUGUCUCUGUAUUAUUUUUUCUCCUGUUGUUAAGUAGCUCAAUAUUUCAAAAUAACUGGAUCACACAUUUUUUUCUCAUUGCCUUGGAUGCUAGAUAACCUCGGAUCAUCUGAGUAAAUAGUAAGCUGUAUUACUUUUUACUACAUUGUUAUUUAUGCUCUGCUUAGUGUCAGAAAGAAUUUAAAACAGUUGUUUCAAGAGUUGGUACAAUUGGGGGGCCAGGUUGUGGCUCAGUGAUAGAGCGUUUGCCUAGUAUGUGUCAGGCACUGGGUUCAAUCCUCGGCACCACAUAGAAACAAACGAAUAAAAUAAAGAUAUUGUGUCCAUCUACAUUAAAAAAUAUAUUUUAAAAAAUUGGUACAAUUGGGGCUGUGUUGUGGCUCAGUGGUAGAGUGCUUGCCUAUCACACGUGAGGCACUGGUUCGAACCUCAGUACCACAUAAAAAUGGAAUAAAGAUAUUGUAUCCACCUAUAACUAAAAAUAAAUAUUAAAAAAGAAUUGGUAUGAUGAAUUUUUAAAAAUCUCUUUGUAAGAAUAAUUCCUGUAAAUAUAAUUGUAAUUUACUUUUGAUGUUUAGAAAAAGAUCAGUGAUUUGUUCUGGUAAAUAUUUUAAUCCCAAGAGGAAACAAGAUC
Molecule: long non-coding RNA, 1303 nt
Filed under: Marmota monax (woodchuck)
Lineage: Eukaryota; Metazoa; Chordata; Mammalia; Rodentia; Sciuridae
Source: RNAcentral